Long non-coding RNA from Mya arenaria, 380 nucleotides. RefSeq lists it as uncharacterized. The transcript has 3 exons. The record is from RefSeq and is a predicted model, not a curated record. NCBI's taxonomy places the organism in Eukaryota, Metazoa, Mollusca, Bivalvia, Myida, Myidae.
AUUACAAGAUCUUUCACCGAGAUUUCAGGCCGUUGCAGCAACGUUUAUGCCAUAUAUAUACAGCCGGGGACCAAAACAACUAGAAGUGAGCAAACCAGUCAAUGGAUCCAUGUUUGCCAGUUUAACCAGAUCAUAUGUCAAAGAUCUUGCAAAGGGAGCUGUUGUUGAUGUUGACUCUGCAUUUCAAACGGCUGCUGCUACAAUCGAAAGGAGUAAGAGACGAAUGUAUGAAGCAGAUGAAAAAUAAAUCCUUGAAAAAUAACAUGAACUUUCUGUGGAUGCGAAAAGAAACAUUAUACGGGGAAAACUGACAACAAUAGGAGGAAGCGCAUAGAAAACAUGGUGAGAGGCAUAAACGUGAAAAAGAUAUUCCGGAAGGA